ACCGGCGGCCCGAGUGGUGAUCGUGAUUAUUGGGUCUAAAGGGUCCGGUAGCCGGUUGGUCAGUCCUCCGGGAAAUCUGAUAGCUCAACUAUUAGGCUUUCGGGGGAUACUGCCAGACUUGGAACCGGGAGAGGUAAGAGGUACUACAGGGGUAGGAGUGAAAUCUUGUAAUCCCUGUGGGACCACCUGUGGCGAAGGCGUCUACCAGAACGGGUUCGACGGUGAGGGACGAAAGCUGGGGGCACGAACCGGAUUAGAUACCCGGGUAGUCCCAGCCGUAACGAUGCUCGCUAGGUGUCAGGCAUGGCGCGACCGUGUCUGGUGCCGCAGGGAAGCCGUGAAGCGAGCCACCUGGGAAGUACGGCCGCAAGGCUGAAACUUAAAGGAAUUGGCGGGGGAGCACAACAACGGGGUGGAGCCUGCGGUUUAAUUGGACUCAACGCCGGACAACUCACCGGGGGCGACAGCAAUAUGUAGGCCAAGCUGAAGACUUUGCCUGAAUCGCUGAGAAGUGGUGCAUGG
This 522-nucleotide ribosomal RNA is filed under the name uncultured archaeon. Its description in RNAcentral is "bacterial SSU rRNA". It matches the Rfam family "Archaeal small subunit ribosomal RNA", at positions 475 to 997 of the family's 1478-position model. The record is from RNAcentral.